UACGUAGAGUGCAAGCGUUAAUCGGAAUUACUGGGCGUAAAGCGUGCGCAGGCGGUGAUGUAAGUCAGAUGUGAAAUCCCCGGGCUCAACCUGGGAACUGCAUUUGUGACUGCAUCGCUGGAGUGCGGCAGAGGGGGAUGGAAUUCCGCGUGUAGCAGUGAAAUGCGUAGAUAUGCGGAGGAACACCGAUGGCGAAGGCAAUCCCCUGGGCCUGCACUGACGCUCAUGCACGAAAGCGUGGGGAGCAAACAGG
Molecule: ribosomal RNA, 253 nt
Filed under: uncultured bacterium
Lineage: Bacteria
Description: partial 16S ribosomal RNA
Rfam family: Bacterial small subunit ribosomal RNA
Source: RNAcentral